Molecule: long non-coding RNA, 916 nt
Filed under: Marmota monax (woodchuck)
Lineage: Eukaryota; Metazoa; Chordata; Mammalia; Rodentia; Sciuridae
Source: RNAcentral
UAGGCCUGUUGGAUCCUCCCCAGGUCUGGGACCCCACGGUGGCCUCACCCUGAGGAAGGCAGAGGAGAGCAUGCCUUCACACCCACGGCCCUCUCCCCAGCUGUUUCUGCUCCAGCCACACAGCCCCUCUUAUCACCUCUGGGCUCCCUAGAGCAUUCUUUCUGCAGGGAGUCAGUCUUCGUCAUUCCUUUUGAGACUGAUCAAAGGUCUCCUGGGUCUACUGGGAAGAGUUUGCGCCUUCAUAUCCUUCUUCCUUACCCUGCUUUAUUUUUCUUGAAAGCAUAGGCCACCCAGUUAAAGGCUACAUUUGUGAUUUGUGUGUCAGCUUAUGAUGGUCUGUCCUGACUGGUAAAGCACCUCCUCCAUCCUCCAUGGAAAGAACUUUGAGGGUCCUCCCUGUCCCCCGCACACACCUUUCUGGCCCCAGUGCACAGAGAGAAUUUGGGAAGGAUUAAGAGAAGCUCUUUAGCACUGACCUCUGAAGUGGGAAUGUAGGAGAGGAGCUUCAUUCCCCAGAUGGCGGGGAGGGACCCUCACAGGCCUUCAAAAGGUGGGGUUUCUGGGAGAGGCAGGGCCAGAGGUUUCUGGAAAGACUGGCUAGACAUCCAGCCCAUGGACAGUGUUUCCAGAGGUGAGGUGUUUGGUGAGCAUGGCCUAUGUCAACCUAUGACUGCAGCUGUAACUGACCUGGGCUGUGGCUACUGGGGUAGGGCUCCUGGCUAUCCCCUUUUUGCAAACCUGGCUGGUUGGAAUGGCCCCUCUGGACCUGGAGAAGCUGCAUGGGGACUGUGGAGUAAUGUAAUGUGAGAUGGGUUUGUCUCCAAGGCCUGAGUCAGAAGUGUGGAGGGCAGGCUAUAACCCUCUCUGUUACUCCCUGAUGCAUAGAACAAUAGUUUUCAGGCUGUGCCUAACCUUG